RNAcentral lists this ribosomal RNA (465 nucleotides) under uncultured bacterium. RNAcentral's name for it is "partial 16S ribosomal RNA". It matches the Rfam family "Bacterial small subunit ribosomal RNA", at positions 338 to 795 of the family's 1533-position model. The record is from RNAcentral.
CCUACGGGAGGCAGCAGUAGGGAAUCUUCCACAAUGGGCGAAAGCCUGAUGGAGCAACGCCGCGUGGGUGAAGAAGGUCUUCGGAUCGUAAAACCCUGUUGUUAGAGAAGAAAGUGCGUGAGAGUAACUGUUCACGUUUCGACGGUAUCUAACCAGAAAGCUACGGCUAACUACGUGCCAGCAGCCGCGGUAAUGCGUAGGUGGCAAGCGUUAUCCGGAGUUAUUGGGCGGAAAGGGAACGCAGGCGGUCUGUUAGGUCUGAUGUGAAAGCCUUCGGCUUAACCGGAGUAGUGCAUUGGAAACUGGGAGACGUGAGUGCAGAAGAGGAGAGUGGAACUCCAUGGGUAGCGGUGAAAUGCGUAGAUAGAUGGAAGAACACCAGUGGCGAAAGCGGCUCUCUGGUCUGUAACUGACGCUGAGGUUCGAAAGCGUGGGUAGCAAACAGGAUUAGAUACCCCGGUAGUC